UCCCUGGUGAUCUAGUGGCUAAGGCUCCCGUGCUCUCACCGCCAUGGCCCGGGUUUGAUUCCCAGGCAGGGAA
Molecule: non-coding RNA, 73 nt
Organism: Pangasianodon gigas (Mekong giant catfish)
Lineage: Eukaryota; Metazoa; Chordata; Actinopteri; Siluriformes; Pangasiidae
Source: the annotation of a GenBank genome assembly